This 262-nucleotide ribosomal RNA is filed under the name uncultured bacterium. RNAcentral describes it as "partial 16S ribosomal RNA". It matches the Rfam family "Bacterial small subunit ribosomal RNA", at positions 16 to 264 of the family's 1533-position model. The record is from RNAcentral.
AUCAGGGCUCAGAUUGAACGCUGGCGGCAGGCCUAACACAUGCAAGUCGAACGGUAACAGGAAGAAGCUUGCUUCUUUGCUGACGAGUGGCGGACGGGUGAGUAAUGUCUGGGAAACUGCCUGAUGGAGGGGGAUAACUACUGGAAACGGUAGCUAAUACCGCAUAACGUCGCAAGACCAAAGAGGGGGGACCUUCGGGUCCCGUCCUUUGUCCACUCGGAUGUGCCCACGAUGGGAGUUAGCUAGUAGGUGGGGUAACGGG